AAACUCAAUAUCAAAUUGGCAGCUCAAGGCAAGCCCAGACUCUAUACAAAGAAAGCUCUUAUUUUCUGCCCAUCUAGGUAGUUGGUAACAGUGCCCUCAAUUGGUCUUUGAGUUCCCCUUCUGUCUGUCUUCCUGCUGACUUAAGACCAUGUUUCUUGCCCAUUUGUAGCUUUCCAUAUAGGGGUGAGUGUGGGGAUGCAUGUUAUCUCCCUUGUACCUACACACACAAACACACGCGCACACAUACAUAUAUUUAUUUCUGCUUGUGUGUGUGUGUGUGUGUUCACUGCUGCUGCUGCUGCUGCUUAAAUGUUGAAGAAAGUAACAAACCCUCCUCUUGGCAAACUUCAUCUUUGAAAUCUAGUCUAGCACAAAUUCAUGAUAUCGUUGUCUACUUUAUUCAAAUUUCAACUCUCCAUCCUUUCUUCCAUCACCUUCUCUGGAGAAUUAUUGCCAGUUCAUCUAGUUUUGCACGGCUUUUAUAUCAUUCCUGCUUGUCUUUGUUAUCUACUUUUUCUAUCUCAAUCUGUAUCUCAUCUUUGUCUUAAAGCAGGGUCAAACAUUUUCUUUAGAGGAUCAGAUAGUAAAUAUUGUUGGCUUUGUGGGACAGCUGGUCUCUGUUUCAGGUGCUUAACUCUGCCAUUGAAGUGUGAGAGCAGCCUUUGAUGGUAGCAAGAAGCAGGACAAGGCUACACUUCCCCACAUCUAAUAGUAUUUUAAAUUCCUCUUCAUCAUGCUGAGAGCCUCCUAUCUGCCUCUUCUUCCAUGGUCGUAGCCUUCCACUCCUAAAGUUAAAAGUGCCAGCUGUGCCUUGAUUUCCUUUAUAUCAUGUGUCAUUCAUUUGUCAGUACAUAUCAGUUUUCUUUUGAUUUCAUUGUAUGUAGGUGAAUUAGCAGAAGACCCAGUGGGGCUUGAUGAGUCUUGUCUUCUAACACACCUCAGAUGUAUGUUCCAGGACAUUGAGUCCUGGUUUACUUGAUUUCCAUCCUAUGUUGAGAAGUUACUACUCACCACAUUCCACUGUGCACAUGGCCUUCCCUGUUAUUCUAGAUAACAUUAAUUGAGCAGGUCCUGUGAGUCAGAAACUGUUUCAGGUACUUCACCUGCAUUAGAUUGUCUAGUCCUCCACCAUAGGGUGCACCAUAAGGUGCUACAAUGUUACCACAGUUUCACAGAGGAGAAAACCCACAUUAGGUGAUUAAGCGCUGCUUGUGCUUGCCAGUAAGUAGCUGAGCUAGAUUGAAACCUCACUCUAUUUGAUUUCAAAACUCUUGUGUUAAAAAUACACACUGUUGCUGGGCGCAGUGGUUCAUGCCUAUAAUCCCAGCAUAUUGGGAGGCCGAGGCGGGCAGAUCACCUGAGGUUGGGAGUUUGAGACCAGCCUGACCAACAUGGAGAAACCCCAUCUCUACUAAAACGUAGAAAAUUAGCUGGACCUGGUGGCACAUGCUUGUAAUCCCAGCUACUCAGGAGGCUGAGGCAGGAGAAUCGCUUGAACCUAGGAGGCGGAGGUUGAAGUGAGCUGAAUUCAUGCCAUUCCACUCCAGCCUGGGCAACGAGAGCGAAACUCUGCCUCAAAAAACAAAUAAAAAAAAAUUAAAAAAAAAA
Molecule: long non-coding RNA, 1608 nt
Filed under: Macaca fascicularis (crab-eating macaque)
Lineage: Eukaryota; Metazoa; Chordata; Mammalia; Primates; Cercopithecidae
Description: lncRNA (ENSMFAG00000065362.1)
Source: RNAcentral